UACGUAGGGGGCAAGCGUUGUCCGGAAUCAUUGGGCGUAAAGCGCGUGUAGGCGGCUCGGUAAGUCCGCUCUGAAAGUCCAGGGCUCAACCCUGGGAUGCGGGUGGAUACUGCCGAGCUCGAGUCCGGAAGAGGCGAGUGGAAUUCCUGGUGUAGCGGUGGAAUGCGCAGAUAUCAGGAGGAACACCAAUAGCGAAGGCAGCUCGCUGGGACGUUACUGACACUGAGGCGCGAAAGCGUGGGGAGCGAACAGG
Molecule: ribosomal RNA, 253 nt
Filed under: uncultured bacterium
Lineage: Bacteria
Description: partial 16S ribosomal RNA
Rfam family: Bacterial small subunit ribosomal RNA
Source: RNAcentral